GACGAACGCUGGCGGCGUGCCUAAUACAUGCAAGUCGAACGCUGAAGGAGGAGCUUGCUCUUCUGGAUGAGUUGCGAACGGGUGAGUAACGCGUAGGUAACCUGCCUGGUAGCGGGGGAUAACUAUUGGAAACGAUAGCUAAUACCGCAUAAGAGUAGAUGUUGCAUGACAUUUACUUAAAAGGUGCAAUUGCAUCACUACCAGAUGGACCUGCGUUGUAUUUGCUAGUUGGUGGGGUAACGGCUUACCAAGGCGACGAUACAUAGCCGACCUGAGAGGGUGAUCGGCCACACUGGGACUGAGACACGGCCCAGACUCCUACGGGAGGCAGCAGUAGGGAAUCUUCGGCAAUGGACGGAAGUCUGACCGAGCAACGCCGCGUGAGUGAAGAAGGUUUUCGGAUCGUAAAGCUCUGUUGUAAGAGAAGAACGAGUGUGAGAGUGGAAAGUUCACACUGUGACGGUAUCUUACCAGAAAGGGACGGCUAACUACGUG
This 495-nucleotide ribosomal RNA is filed under the name uncultured bacterium. Its description in RNAcentral is "partial 16S ribosomal RNA". It matches the Rfam family "Bacterial small subunit ribosomal RNA", at positions 28 to 507 of the family's 1533-position model. The record is from RNAcentral.